GAAGAUACACACUACAUUAUCUACACAAGACAACACUACACACAGGGAAUUCUUCGCACAAUUUUUCUCCACCAAACACACUGCCAUAAACACCAUCACAUAUUCACACAUACACAUCUCUAUUUGUUUCAUGGAUUAGCAACAACCCAAUUCAAAGACACAACCUCACUUUCACAGUCAUAUACACACGACACAUGGGAAAAGAAAAAAGAGGGUGAAGGGCUAGAUCGAGAUUGAGGAAAGAGAAUGAUGUGAGAGAAAAAAAGAAGAGUGAUAGAGAGAGAGUGAGAAAUAGGAGAAACACACACAUACACACAGUGAAGUCGCGUGCGAGAGAGACAAACAGAGAGUUUGAUCAAAAUGGGAGUGAACGAAAUCCGGCUGACUAUUUUGAGUUUUUCGAUGAAUUAUUCACCGAAAUUACCCAAUCCUCGCCGGAUUCUAUCAUACAAACUCAAAAUUAAUUCCAUAAGAUGAAAACCAACGAAAUCAAGUAGAAAUCUAUUAGUUGCGAGCUUCAUUCUCAGUUUUUCCAGUGAAGCAUUGAUUGGAAAAUGGGUUCGGUUAUUGUCAGUUUUCACAAUUUCUAUUUUGGGUCAGCGGAAAGCAAAAGAAGUGGUGCAUACCGAAGAUGAGGUUCACAUUGAGGCUCGAUUUGAGUUUUUGGAUUGCGGGUUUGGUCACUUCAUUCGAGUAUAUUGAAUUUUGAAAGCUCCAAAUUGAGGUCCAAUUCCAUUCUCUCCUCUUUUGUUUUAUUAUUUAUUAUAUUAUGUACUUUGAAUUGAACAUCGUGUGUUGGUUGAUCCUUGUUGGUAGUGAAUAGUUGUUUGGCGUUGAUUCAUUGUUGGUUUCUUUAACUAUACAUCGUGUGAUGAAAUGAUACCUUGCUUGAAAAUUACAAUCGAUAAUUUGGGAAUAAAAUUUGGGUGAGAAUUAAAAAUCAAUAAAACUGAAUAUUGUUGUGCCUCGACUCAUCGAUUGUUGUUGGAUUUGAAAUGAAUGUUAAUAUUAUCAAAUUCGAUACUAUCAUGAUUUAGGUCGAGAAUCAAUAGGCAAAUUUUAGGUUUGGGUAGGCAAAUUAUACAAAUUAAUGAUUGUUAAGUGAUUGAAUUAUUAUGUUUGAGAUGGUUUUAUUUUAUCGUACAAAAUUGAAAUUGUAUUUAUUUAGUCGGGGAAUGCCCCGAGGUCAUUUGUACUUAUUCAGUCGGGUAUUUCCCGAAGUAUCUUGUGCGCGAAGGACGUUCGUGAUCAAGGCCUGAGGCAUCGGGUAGAGCAUAGUUUAGGACUAGUGUAGGUUAUCGUAGGUUUAUUUCAGCAAUUUUUUUAUUUUUGAAUGUAAUAAUUGGAUUGGACACUAUAUUUUUGUUUGGUGAUUUUUUUUGUGUUUUAUUGGUUUAUACAUUCCGAUAGUGUCGUACUAGACGAUACAGUUCAUGGAGUGAUCGUGGUCACACUACGAGACCGAGGGAACCUAACACCUUCCUUUCAGUCAAUAGAAUCAAAAUUUUUAUUCGUGGAUCAGUUUUAAAGAGUCAAACCAUUUUGAAAAAGAUUUCCAACGGUGACUUGGCACACAAAAUUUAUGCCAAGUGGCGACUCUGAGUUCAAAUGUAAAGAAAUUCUUUUCGAAAUAAAUUUUUAUUUUAUGUCACUUAAUAAUAAAAACCCUUUCAAACUUAAAAUCUAUUCUUUUUUUAGUUAAAACGGGGUGUGACAGUUUGGUGAGUCUACUGGGGACUAUUUUCAGAAUUCAAGCUUAUUUUUGAGUUAUAUCAGCUUAGUUUGACACUAUAGGUGUUUAGACAUUUUGUUUGUGUUAUUGUUUUAGCAUUGUUGAGUGCCUACUUUCUACGUGUGUACAAUUUUUCUCUCUUAUGUGUUACCGCUUUAUAUCUAGCAUUAUUUGCAUAACCUGAGUUAAUUUUCUUGUAAUAAGUAUCGGAGUACACGUCAUGUACACGAACUCUAGUUGAGUCACCCUUAUUUUAAGAGGGAGAGCCGUCAGAUGUAUGGAGUAGGUGGAAAGCAAAAUAACCACUAUCGACCAUAUGCUCCCCCGAUCAGCCUUGUUAGUGGACCUCAACGUAGGUCAGCCUUUAGGUCAUGCUUAUCUGCAUCAUAUUGGGACCUAGAGGGGCGCACUUAGUCCUUUGUAGGAAAUUCACCCCAAAAGCAUUCCUACGUGCUAAUUGUUAAAUCUUUGAGGGUAAUAUGGUCAUUUGAUGGACUGGUUUGAGAAAAACAUAUGUUAGAAUUAAAUCAGAGUAUGUUUAGGCAAGAACAAUUCAAAAAAAGGGAAGAAAAGGAAAAAAAACAAGGAAAGGUGGAGAAAAAAAGAGUUUCGUAGCUGUUUAGAGUUUAUGGCUUUUAUUUUCUACAUCCAAAAAAAAAUCAAUCAAAAAGAGUUUUACCUUUUGCACUCAUUUGUCAAAAACAUAAAAAACAUCAAAAAGAUUCUUUUGAUUCUUUUAGAAAGCAUUCAUAAUUCGAAAGUUUUAAUUUUUUUUAAUAGGAGUUUUUAUAAAAGAAAAUUCAAAUGGUAGAAGUUUUGUACAUUUCAUAUAACGAAAAAACCAAAAAGAUUUCUUUCAUAGUUGUUGGUGUCACUUUUAGGUGAAGUGUCAAAUUGAAAACUCAAAAAGAUUUUAUUGACAUUGUUCAUCAUCUGUCUUUGGUCGGUUCUAUCAAGUCAGGGUUUAGUCUGUUAUUUAAUCCUUAAUUGUCCAAUCUGGACGAACUACACACACCUGAUUCUCCUCUCUCGGGAGUGAGAAACGUAGACAACCCUUCUAAGGUUCGGUGAUCUAUUAAAAAAAAUUUAAAAUGAUUUUUUCACUCUUCAUUUAGAGUAGGUGUUUCAUAUAUGUUUUGAAAAGAAAAAUUCAAAAAAAACAUUUUCCUUAAUAAUCUUAGGUUUAAUUUUGUGAUGAAAUUCAAAAUUGAAAAAUCCAAAAAGAUUUUCACAGUAUCUUUUGAAAAUAAUGAUAAAAGAAAGAAAAAAAAAUUUCUUUCCAUUUUAGAUUACUUGUAUACACAUGUUGCUUUAUCUGAAAAUUACAAAAAAAAGAGGAUUUUUCUUUAAGACUUUUAGGUUUCAUUUUUGCAUGAAUUUCAAACAAAAAAAAAGACCGUGUAAAUAUCUUUUGAAAAAAAAAAAGAGAAAGAAAGAUUCAUUUGGUAAUAGAUUAGUUAAUCAAUGCAUCCUUCCAUAUGAAAAAUACAAAAAAAAAUUCUCUUGAUAAUCACAGGUUUCAUUUUGCAUAGGGAAUUUAAAUUUGAAAAAUUCAAAUAAAAUUUUGUCAAUUCUUUUGAUAAUUUGUUAUUUUUUCAUCUUGUUAAAGUUUCAAAACAAGAAAAGAAAAAGAAAGAGAGUUUUAUUGGUCCUUUUUCGAAAAAACUUCAUGAACUAUGCACACCAGGUUCUCCUCUCUCGAGGGUGAGAUACGUAGGCGCCCUUCUUGGGUUUGGUGAUAUUUUUUAAAUAAAAAGAGCUAAAGAUUUUGAGAAAGUGUUGAAUUCAGAUGCAUUUGUUAUCUCUUGUUCAGUUAGUUUAUAGUGGUUGGUUUAUGGCAUUUUGGUUGGUCCCUCAUAUCACACCAAGCUUAAGGAAGAGUUAGUCAUAUCCAACAAGGAUAUAGAGAGUGACAUCAUGAAUCAGACAAAAAGUCUGGCAAAUGAGAAUUUAAAGAAAGAGAUUGUGAGACAAAGACAACAAAUGAUGGAAAUGCACCGAGCUUGGUUCAGUGGGUUGCCUCCUGUCUCUUUCUUCAUUUUUGACCCUGCAAAUACCUUGAGUCUUCCAUCAUAAUUGUGAAGUCAAUUUUCCACUGUUGUUGAUGUACCACAACAUGCCUCAGAAUUCACUCUAAGACAAAAACAUCCCAAUAUUUCUAUCACCUAUUCUUUAGCUCUUCAAUAUAAAUUUGCCAUAUUGAUAGCACUAUCUAUCAUUUAUGAUUUUGUUGCUCAAGCCUCUACUGAGGUUUUCACAUUGGCUAUCCGCCCAAUGGUUGUGCUUCCCAAGGCCGCUAAUGAAUGCAUGUUCAAUACUCUUGAUAAUCAUUGCUAUAUUCCUGAGUCCACAUCAAUGUUAAUUGGACCACCAAAAUUUCUUAACAAGAAGGCUAGGGAUAAUUUUACACCAAUUGUGGAGUCGUAUGCCAGUUUAUUCCAGAGAUUAAGAAAGUUGGGCAUGAUCACUCCUUUUCUUGGAUAUACUCCUGAUUCACAUUUAAGAAAUUUUGAUCCUUAUGUAUGAUGUGCAUAUCAUUAUGAUGUUCAGGGCCAUCGUAUUGAAGGUUGUAGUGCUUUGAAAAGAGAAAUAAAAAUGAUGAUUCAAGAAAAAUUGAUGAUAGUGCAAAACGUUAACACUACAAAGGUCACACAUAAUCCUUCACCAACACACAAUAAUGCACAAUAUAUGGGAAGCAAUGAGUCAAGCAU
RNAcentral lists this long non-coding RNA (4443 nucleotides) under Capsicum annuum. Its description in RNAcentral is "long non-coding RNA (CANN_LNC012743)". The record is from RNAcentral. Lineage: Eukaryota; Viridiplantae; Streptophyta; Magnoliopsida; Solanales; Solanaceae.